This 2815-nucleotide long non-coding RNA is filed under the name Homo sapiens (human). RNAcentral's name for it is "non-protein coding lnc-FARSB-1:1". Lineage: Eukaryota; Metazoa; Chordata; Mammalia; Primates; Hominidae. The record is from RNAcentral.
UUUAAUUCUAUUUACCUGAGAGUCUAAAAAAGUCAAAAGCAGGUGGUCGGCAGGACCUCAGGAAAGAGAACUGACUGCAGUGGGUUAAGAGAAAACUUUUUGGGGUGAUGGAAAUUUUAUCUUAAUUGAGGUGGUAGGUGUACUUCAGGUGUAGGUUAUACCUUUGUAAAGCUGGGAGAAAAAGAAUGUAAUGUAACAUGUAGUAUUUUACUGAUUUUAACUACAUAACACCAGUUGAUAAAUGCCUAGAGAAAUAGCCUGAACUGUAGAAUUGGCAGUUGUGCUCAAGGUGGCUCACUGGUCCACAGCUAUUAAUGAUAUAUUCUCCCUUAGUUUCAGGUUCGCUCUAGUUAAAAUCAUGGCUUAUGGAUCAUCAUAUGAUAGCCCUUGUUGAAGUAGGUGGAACCAUUUGUUCUGUCAGCAGCUACCCACCUGGAUAUUUUUGGGGGUGGCCAAAAUUACUUGUAAUGAAAAACCCACUAAUGCCUAAUUGUAUAUCCCAGCAUGAAAGGGGAAAGAUCAACUCCAUGCAUCAUGUAGAUGUUUCUGCCCUCGGAAGCAGGAAAUGGUAGGCAGAAAAACAGUGUCGGCUGCAUUGGAAGAAGCGAAUCCAGCUCAUGAGUCGAGGCUCUGCAGCCAGAUCAUCUUACACUUGUCCCUGGUGAAGCAUUUGAACUGGAGCCAGGGCAGUCUGUGAGUACUGCCAAAAGCCUUUAUUACAGAAGAUGCACACCUUCUUAGUAAAAACUGGGAGCUCUAGUAUUAAAGUGAAAAUUAAAUGGAAUUGAUUUUUGUUCUAGCUUAGAAAAAACUUAAAUUCUACCACUACAGCCUCACAGUCCUGCAGUGCUCUUCUAGUUUUGUUUGUUUUUUGUUUUUUUAGACGGAGUCUCGCUCUGUCACCCAGGCUGGAGUGCAAUGGCACAAUCUUGGCUCACUGCAACCUCCACCUCCUGGGUUCAAGCAAUUCUCCUGCCUCAGCUUCCCGAGUAGCUGGGACUACAGGUGUGUGCCACCAUGCCUGGAUAAUUUUUGUAUUUUUAGUAGAGACGGGGUUUCACCACGUUAGCUAGGCUGGUCUCGAACUUCUGACCUCAGGCGAUCUGUCCACCUCUGCCUCCCAAAGUGCUGGGAUUACAGGCGCCCAGCCUGCUCUUCUGUUUUUAAAUUAUUUUUGAAUUGAUCUUUUUUCACAUUUUAAUUUUUUUGGUUUAAUAACGGUAUGAGAGUAGGAAUUCUCCCUGAUGUGUAGGGUGAAAACAGUUGAGUUUCAGAGAGAUCAAUAACUUACUCAGAAGUCACAUAGCCAAUAAAUGAGUUUGAGACACUAUAAAAGAGUGACUUGGAGUCCACAGACCACUCACUGAUUUGCAUUAUUUACUUAUUUAUGCGAAAGUAAAUAAUGGGACUUUCUACACUUUUUAAAAAUAUAAAAAUAAUGGGAGACAAAAAGUUAAAAAUUGUUAAGUCCAAUACUUUAAAAAAACUCUGCAAACUGUGGCCUUACUGAGUUAAUCUACCUUUCUUCCUCCUGAUUCCCUGAAGUAACUAACUGCUGUUAACAAUUUAGCCUGUAUUGUUCCUUAGUUUGGACAUUUUCCUUGAUUUGUACAGUCAGCCACACACACCUGCUCACAUUUUUGGGGGUCAUGCUCUACUUACUGGUUUGCAACAAGUUUUGUUUUUUAUUUUACAUAUAUCUCAUGACAUUUCACUUAAUAUGCCCCAUUUUUUCAGGUCAGUGCCUAUAGACCUAUCUCAUUCUUUUAAAUGAGGUAAUAUUCUAUUGUACAGAUGUCCGUAAUUGUUCAAUUAUUCCCUUGUUGGUGGACAUUCAGUUGUUUCCAACUGUUUGCAAUUAUAAACACUGCUCCAAUGAACCCCCUAUCCUGCUAAAUAGCACUGGCUUAGGACCCCAAGGAAAACCAGUCCUAAUGGGUGCAAGACUGUAUAAAUAUCCACAUUUGACAGACACAUUCAGAGAUGCAUAGAGUUCAUUAGAUAUUUCUUUGAUGUGACGUUUGUACUUGAACUAUAUAUUAUUCCAGUACCUUACAUCUUAGAUGUAGAAGUCGCUAGGUCAAAGGAUGUGUUUUGAAUUUAAAACAUGUUGAAUGACUGUUCUCACAUUUUAAACAGGAGUAAUCUACUACAAACCAGCCAGCCUAACCACUGCCCCUGCUCUCAGCAAUGAUGGGCUCAUCAGCUUGGUAAGAGAGAACAUUACUCACAAUCUUGCUUCUCAAUCUUAAUCUAUUUGUGCUUGGUGUUUUAUAUAACAUCACUAACCCUAAUACUUGAGUAUUUACUUUGGCCCUUCUGUCCAUUUUAUCCAAAAGCAAACAGAUAGCCUUCAAGGGACACCAUUGCCUUAAGCAGAAUAUGCCUCCUAAGCAUUGAAAGCCUUUGACCCAUCUGAUAUCCAAGUUCUGGCUUAUUAUGUUAUUAGGGCCUUGAAUAACUUUAUGUAUAUUAUUAUGGACUGAAUGUAUCCCCACAAAUUCAUGUUGACCCUCUGACCUCCAGUGUGAUGGUCUUUGGAGAUGAGGCCUUUGGCAGGUGAUUAGAGCUAGAUGAGGUCAUGAGAGGGAGGCCCUCAUGAAAGGCUCAGUGGCCUGAUAAGAAGAAACACCAGAGAGCUUGCUCUGUUUCUCUGCCUACCUGGCGCACACAUACAGAAGAGGUGAUAUGACCACACAGCAACAUGGUGGCCACCAGCAAGCUAGGAGAGGGAUCAGAAUGAAACCUAUUUUGCUGGCACCUUGAUCUUGAAAUUCUAGCCUCCAGAACUGUGAGAAAUAAAAUUCUUUUAUUG